Molecule: ribosomal RNA, 406 nt
Filed under: uncultured bacterium
Lineage: Bacteria
Description: bacterial SSU rRNA
Rfam family: Bacterial small subunit ribosomal RNA
Source: RNAcentral
UAGGGGAUUUUGCGCAAUGGGCGAAAGCCUGACGCAGCAACGCCGCGUGAGGGAAGACGGCUUUCGGGUUGUAAACCUCUUUUAGCAGGGACGAACACAAUGACGGUACCUGCAGAAAAAGCACCGGCUAACUACGUGCCAGCAGCCGCGGUAAUACGUAGGGUGCAAGCGUUAUUCGGAUUUAUUGGGCGUAAAGCGCAUGUAGGCGGUUCGGUAAGUCUGGUGUGAAAGCCCUCGACUCAAUCGAGGAAGUGCAUUGGAUACUGUCGAACUGGAGUACAGGAGGGGUGAGCGGAAUUCCAGGUGUAGAGGUGAAAUUCGUAGAUAUCUGGAGGAACAACAGCGGCGAAGGCGGCUCACUGGACUGUAACUGACGCUCAGAUGCGAUAGUGUGGGGAGCAAACAG